GGCUUCUGUCGAGUGCUGCAUGGUGUCGUCAGCUCGUGCCGUGAGGUGUCGGCUCAAGUGCCAUAACGAGCGCUACUCUUGCCGUCAGUUACCAGCACGUAAUGGUGGGGACUCUGGCGGGACUGCCACCGCAAGGUGAGAGGAAGGGGGGGAUGACGUCAAAUCAGCACGGCCCUUACGUCCGGGGCGACACACGUGUUACAAUGGGUGCCACAGAGGGGAUCUACCUGGCGACAGGAUGGUAAUCUCGAAAAGCGCCCUCAGUUCGGAUCGGAGUCUGCAACCCGACUCCGUGAAGCUGGAUUCGCUAGUAAUCGCGCAUCAGCCAUGGCGCGGUGAAUACGUUCCCGGGCCUUGUACACACCGCCCGUCAAGCCAUGAAAGCCUGGGGCGCCUGAAGUCCGUGACCGAGAGGAGCGGCCUAGGGCGAAACAGGUAAUGGGGCUAAGUCGUAACAAGGUAACCUA
Molecule: ribosomal RNA, 467 nt
Filed under: uncultured bacterium
Lineage: Bacteria
Description: bacterial SSU rRNA
Rfam family: Bacterial small subunit ribosomal RNA
Source: RNAcentral